Molecule: long non-coding RNA, 558 nt
Filed under: Capsella rubella
Lineage: Eukaryota; Viridiplantae; Streptophyta; Magnoliopsida; Brassicales; Brassicaceae
Description: long non-coding RNA (CRUB_LNC003507)
Source: RNAcentral
UGGCAGAUGGAUCGAUUAACUAUGCCGUUCUCUAUGUCUUUGGGUUUUCAUAUGUUUACGUCUAGUCCGGAGGAUUAGUUCUAUUAUAUUUGAGGAUGGUAUCGGCUUUUCACACACGAGUCUUGUUCGAGUGUAAUCUUAUUUUCUGUUUUAAUAAUACCUAGAUGAUUUUUCUCCUCUCUUUCACCAAAAAAAAAAAAAACAAAAACAAAAUGGUCACAGAGCUAUGCAUUGGCUAUAAUGUAAGAGAAUUGGGUUACCAAAAAGAGAAGGAAGACUGGGUUUCAAGGAUCUAGAAAUCUUCAAUCUGGCUUUACCACGUAAGCAGGUGUGGUGAAUUGUUCAAGCGCCAAAUAGUUUGUUAUCUCGUUUCUUAAAAGCAAAGUAUUUCCCACGUGAUAAUAUCUUUAAUGCAAAUCAUAGAGUUAAAGUUGAAAUCACUACUAGAAGAGAGAGAGAGAUCUGAUUAAGCAAGGAAUGAGAUUGCUAAUUGGGAAUGGAUGUAAUACAAGUAUGUGGUCUGAUCCUUGGUUACCAACACCACCACCACGGCCCCCA